RNAcentral lists this ribosomal RNA (429 nucleotides) under Gemmatimonadota bacterium. Its description in RNAcentral is "Gemmatimonadetes bacterium partial 16S ribosomal RNA". It matches the Rfam family "Bacterial small subunit ribosomal RNA", at positions 355 to 776 of the family's 1533-position model. The record is from RNAcentral. Lineage: Bacteria; Pseudomonadati; Gemmatimonadota.
UAGGGAAUCUUCGGCAAUGGACGAAAGUCUGCCCGAGCAACGCCGCGUGAGUGAAGAAGGUUUUCGGAUCGUAAAACUCUGUCGUUAGAGAAGAACAAGGACGUUAGUAACUGAACGUCUCCUGACGGUCUCUAACCAGAAAGCCACGGCUAACUACGUGCCAGCAGCCGCGGUAAUACGUAGGUGGCAAGCGCUGUCCGGAGUUAUUGGGCGUAAAGCGAGCGCAGGCGGUUUCUUAAGUCUGAUGUGAAAGCCCGCGGCUCAACCGGGGAGGGUCAUUGGAAACUGGGGGACUUGAGGGCAGAAGAGGAGAGUGGAAUUCCAUGUGUGGCGGUGAAAUGCGUAAAUAUAUGGAGGAACACCGGUGGCGAAGGCGGCUCUCUGGUCUGUAACUGACGCUGAGGCUCGAAAGCGUGGGGAGCAAACAGU